AUCGUAGUGUGAAUUGCAGAAUUCCGCGAAUCAUCGAGUCUUUGAACGCAAGUUGCGCCCGAGGCUUGUCCAAGGGCAUUUCCGCUAGAGCGUCACC
RNAcentral lists this ribosomal RNA (97 nucleotides) under Rigodiadelphus robustus. Its description in RNAcentral is "partial 5.8S ribosomal RNA". It matches the Rfam family "5.8S ribosomal RNA", at positions 58 to 154 of the family's 154-position model. From Rfam's summary of the family: 5.8S ribosomal RNA (5.8S rRNA) is a component of the large subunit of the eukaryotic ribosome. Lineage: Eukaryota; Viridiplantae; Streptophyta; Bryopsida; Hypnales; Leskeaceae. The record is from RNAcentral.